UUUUUCUUCUGAGUUCCCUUUUUUCUCUCUUUAGUUCUUGGUCUUCUCCUUGAUUUCGAUCCAUGAUUUCUUAAUAGAUUCUAGCCAAAAUAGUUGUGAGAUCCUGCGGGAUUCGUGUUGCAACAGUAAAUCAAGCCUGAAAAUAGUGGCUGAUUUUUAGUCUAUAGAAGUGCAAGUUCUUGAUUUUUUGGUUAUGGUUACCAUUUAAGAGAUUUGCUUGUACAUUGAUGAUUAAGUUUGGGGUCUGAUUGAGUUCUCAUGAUCUGUGCUCGCUCUUUGGAAGGUUUAUUUUGUACUUAGUGUUUGGGCUAAUAUCUAAGCCUCCAGAUUAGGCAUCUGCUGAACUGGACGAACAAUUUUUGUGUGUUCCUUUAUUUUCUG
This 381-nucleotide long non-coding RNA is filed under the name Olea europaea (common olive). Its description in RNAcentral is "long non-coding RNA (OEUR_LNC000368)". Lineage: Eukaryota; Viridiplantae; Streptophyta; Magnoliopsida; Lamiales; Oleaceae. The record is from RNAcentral.